GGAGAGAUGGCCGAGUUGGUUAUGGCGUCAGGUUAAGGCUCUAAAGUCUUGACAUUACGUUUCCUGAUGGGGCAACCCGCGUGGGUUCGAAUCCCACUCUCUUCA
This 105-nucleotide transfer RNA is filed under the name Fonsecaea multimorphosa CBS 102226. It matches the Rfam family "tRNA". From Rfam's summary of the family: Transfer RNA (tRNA) molecules are approximately 80 nucleotides in length. Their secondary structure includes four short double-helical elements and three loops (D, anti-codon, and T loops). Lineage: Eukaryota; Fungi; Ascomycota; Eurotiomycetes; Chaetothyriales; Herpotrichiellaceae. The record is from Rfam by way of RNAcentral.